Molecule: ribosomal RNA, 407 nt
Filed under: uncultured bacterium
Lineage: Bacteria
Description: partial 16S ribosomal RNA
Rfam family: Bacterial small subunit ribosomal RNA
Source: RNAcentral
AUUGAACGCUGGCGGCAGGCCUAACACAUGCAAGUCGAGCGGAGCGGCGGACGGGUGAGUAAUGCCUCGGAAUCUGACUGGUAGUGGGGGAUAACGUCCGGAAACGGGCGCUAAUACCGCCUCCUUUUAGAUGAGACUAGGUCGGAUUAGCUAGGUGGGGGGGUAAAGGCCUACAAAGGCGACGAUCCGUAACUGGUCUGAGAGGAUGAGAAGUCACACUGGAACUGAUACACGGUCCAGACUCCGACGGGAGGCAUCAGUGGAGAAUAUUGGACAAUGGGCGAAAGCCUGAACCAGCCAUGACGCGUGUGUGAAGAAGGUAUUCGGAUUGUAAAGCACUUUAAGUUGGGGGGCGGUACCAACAGAAUAAGCACCGGCUAACUACGUGCCAGCCGCCGCGGUAAUUC